AACGGUCUAUACCUGCGGUACCUGCGGAAGGAUCAUUACAUGGCGGAGGAGGUGGGCACCUAGUAAAACAAAACCCUAGGUGUGUUGCCUACCACGCUUUCUACCCUUGUCUAUUUGCACCUUUUGUCGUUCCCUCGGUGGGUCUUGAACCUGCCGGCGGCAACUUUCAAAAACCUUUUGUAGUUAGUAUCUAAUUCUUCUGAUCAAAUAUUCAAUCGUUACAACUUUUAGCAAUGGAUC
This 240-nucleotide unclassified non-coding RNA is filed under the name soil metagenome. Its description in RNAcentral is "partial contains 5.8S ribosomal RNA, internal transcribed spacer 2, and large subunit ribosomal RNA". The record is from RNAcentral.